GCUAUAUCUGGCUGGUCAGCUACAAGAUUUAAAUAUUAAAUAUAACAAAUUGAAAGAUAAUCAUACAAUAUGUUGAUACUGAAGCUAAAUUACUUUGGACAAUGUCACUAUGUUGUAGGCAGUAUCAUACAAUGCAUCAGUGAUUAAUUACCAGCAUUGAAAGAUAUUAAUUCCAGACUUCUAUAAUCAUUGCAUUGUUGUUAAUAGAAUCUGUGGAUUGUGCCAGUGAUUGCUUCGACAUUAGGUAUGCAGACAGAAAUGUUUGGCAUUAAUGAUAGAUUUUGUGAAAAUUACUUUAGUAUUCUUUUUGUUGGCUUACAUUAGCUGUAAUUAAGCACUAGAAUUAAAACUUACAUUCCAUUAUCACAGUUUAUAUUUUAUUAAAGGAAGCGCAUCUUGGAGAAACGAAUAAGCCAGUUACAACUUGGACACUUGGCAUGAACCUUGAGGUCAGCAAAAUACUACAGAAGCUGCAUUUCCCCUACCAAAUGCAGAGCUGAUGCUGACAGGUUCUGGGAUCCAAUGAGCAUGCCAGAAGUCUGAGUGAUGGGCUGCUGUGGAACUUCCAAGUUCACACAUGACUGCCAUAACCUGCUGGAUGGGAAAAACUGCUGUCAUUCUGCCACCAAUAGCCCGUGAUAAUCUUCAUGCUAUAAGACUUCAAUUGCAGAACUGCAGCACCUUGCAUAACAGCCUCCAGAGAAGGAAACACAGCCAAGUCAAGGAAGCCGAUGGACCAUAUAAGGGGCUCACUUCCAGCAGCCAGAUUGGCUCUGACUAACUGAGUGACCUUCAGCAUCUCUCCUUCUCUUAGAUGUCUCCCUCCUCCUGGGUAUAUGAAUCCUGAGACCUGAAGGCUUCACCAAUAACACUUUGUUGCCAUAAUAAUGCCAAUCAUACCUUCCUAUGGGAGUCAUCUAUUUCUCUCAAGGAUCUGGCCAUCAAUUGCAGAUUAACUGGGG
Molecule: long non-coding RNA, 962 nt
Organism: Hypanus sabinus (Atlantic stingray)
Lineage: Eukaryota; Metazoa; Chordata; Chondrichthyes; Myliobatiformes; Dasyatidae
Exons: 4
Source: RefSeq, a predicted model, not a curated record